RNAcentral lists this ribosomal RNA (462 nucleotides) under uncultured bacterium. RNAcentral's name for it is "partial 16S ribosomal RNA". It matches the Rfam family "Bacterial small subunit ribosomal RNA", at positions 28 to 507 of the family's 1533-position model. The record is from RNAcentral.
GACGAACGCUGGCGGCGUGCUUAACACAUGCAAGUCGAGCGGAAAGGCCCUUCGGGGUACUCGAGCGGCGAACGGGUGAGUAACACGUGAGUAACCUGCCCCAGACUUUGGGAUAACCCUCGGAAACGGGGGCUAAUACCGGAUACGACACAGCUUCGCAUGGGGUCUGUGUGGAAAGUUUUUCGGUUUGGGAUGGGCUCGCGGCCUAUCAGCUUGUUGGUGGGGUGAUGGCCUACCAAGGCGACGACGGGUAGCCGGCCUGAGAGGGCGACCGGCCACACUGGGACUGAGACACGGCCCAGACUCCUACGGGAGGCAGCAGUGGGGAAUAUUGCACAAUGGGCGGAAGCCUGAUGCAGCGACGCCGCGUGAGGGAUGACGGCCUUCGGGUUGAAAACCUCUUUCAGCAGGGACGAAGCGUAAGUGACGGUACCUGCAGAAGAAGCGCCGGCCAACUACGUG